AGCGAACGCUGGCGGCAGGCUUAACACAUGCAAGUCGAGCGGGCACUUUCGGGUGUCAGCGGCGGACGGGUGAGUAACGCGUGGGAACGUGCCCUCUGGUUCGGAAUAACUCAGGGAAACUUGAGCUAAUACCGGAUACGCCCUUUUGGGGAAAGGCUUGCUGCCGGAGGAUCGGCCCGCGUCUGAUUAGCUACUUGGUGAGGUAACGGCUCACCAAGGCGACGAUCAGUAGCUGGUCUGAGAGGAUGAUCAGCCACACUGGGACUGAGACACGGCCCAGACUCCUACGGGAGGCAGCAGUGGGGAAUAUUGGACAAUGGGCGCAAGCCUGAUCCAGCCAUGCCGCGUGAGUGAUGAAGGCCUUAGGGUUGUAAAGCUCUUUUAUCCGGGACGAUAAUGACGGUACCGGAGGAAUAAGCCCCGGCUAACUUCGUG
RNAcentral lists this ribosomal RNA (435 nucleotides) under uncultured bacterium. Its description in RNAcentral is "partial 16S ribosomal RNA". It matches the Rfam family "Bacterial small subunit ribosomal RNA", at positions 29 to 507 of the family's 1533-position model. The record is from RNAcentral.